GGCAGGCCUAACACAUGCAAGUCGAGCGGAAACGAGUUAUCUGAACCUUCGGGGAACGAUAACGGCGUCGAGCGGCGGACGGGUGAGUAAUGCCUAGGAAAUUGCCCUGAUGUGGGGGAUAACCAUUGGAAACGAUGGCUAAUACCGCAUGAUGCCUACGGGCCAAAGAGGGGGACCUUCGGGCCUCUCGCGUCAGGAUAUGCCUAGGUGGGAUUAGCUAGUUGGUGAGGUAAGGGCUCACCAAGGCGACGAUCCCUAGCUGGUCUGAGAGGAUGAUCAGCCACACUGGAACUGAGACACGGUCCAGACUCCUACGGGAGGCAGCAGUGGGGAAUAUUGCACAAUGGGCGCAAGCCUGAUGCAGCCAUGCCGCGUGUGUGAAGAAGGCCUUCCGGGUUGUAAAGCACUUUCCAGUCGUGAGGAAGGUAGUGUAGUUAAUAGCUGCAUUAUUUGACGUUAGCGACAGAAGAA
This 471-nucleotide ribosomal RNA is filed under the name marine sediment bacterium ISA-2635. RNAcentral's name for it is "bacterial SSU rRNA". It matches the Rfam family "Bacterial small subunit ribosomal RNA", at positions 41 to 489 of the family's 1533-position model. The record is from RNAcentral.